GAUAAACGCUGGCGGCGUGCCUAACCCAUGCAAGUCGAACGGUCCCGCAAGGAUAGUGGCGGACGGGUGAGUUACACGUAGAAAUCUACCUCGCCGGAGGGAAUAACUCCUCGAAAGAGGAGCUAAUACCCAAAAGGAUCCGCAAGGAUCAGAGUCCGCAAGGGCCUGGCGAGAGGAGUCUGCGGCCCAUCAGCUAGUUGGUGGGGUAAUGGCCCACCAAGGCUACGACGGGUAGGGGGUCUGAGAGGAUGUCCCCCCACACUGGAACUGAAACACGGUCCAGACACCUACGGGUGGCAGCAGGGAGGAAUAUUGGACAAUGGGGGAAACCCUGAUCCAGCAACGCCGCGUGAGGGAUGAAGGCUUCGGGCUGUAAACCUCUUUUCAGGGAGAAGAGAAAGGACGGUAUCCCUGGAAUAAGUCACGGCUAACUACGUGCCAGCAGCCGCGGUAAUACGUAGGUGGCGAGCGUUAUCCGGAUUUACUGGGCGUAAAGCGCUUGUAGGCGGCCUUGUAAGUUGGGCGUGAAAGCUCCGGGCUUAACCCGGAGAGGCCGUCCAAUACUGCGAGGCUAGAGGGUGCCAGAGGAAGGUGGAAUUCCUGGUGUAGCGGUGAAAUGCGUAGAUAUCAGGAGGAACACCCGUGGCGAAGGCGGCCUUCUGGGGCAUUCCUGACGCUGAGAAGCGAAAGCUAGGGGAGCAAACAGG
This 707-nucleotide ribosomal RNA is filed under the name uncultured Chloroflexus sp. RNAcentral's name for it is "bacterial SSU rRNA". It matches the Rfam family "Bacterial small subunit ribosomal RNA", at positions 28 to 776 of the family's 1533-position model. Lineage: Bacteria; Bacillati; Chloroflexota; Chloroflexia; Chloroflexales; Chloroflexaceae. The record is from RNAcentral.